UACGUAGGGUGCGAGCGUUGUCCGGAAUUAUUGGGCGUAAAGGGCUCGUAGGCGGUCUGUCACGUCGGGAGUGAAAACUCAGGGCUUAACCCUGAGCCUGCUUCCGAUACGGGCAGACUAGAGGUAUGCAGGGGAGAACGGAAUUCCUGGUGUAGCGGUGAAAUGCGCAGAUAUCAGGAGGAACACCGGUGGCGAAGGCGGUUCUCUGGGACGGUACUGACGCUGAGACGCGAAAGCGUGGGGAGCGAACAGG
Molecule: ribosomal RNA, 253 nt
Filed under: uncultured bacterium
Lineage: Bacteria
Description: partial 16S ribosomal RNA
Rfam family: Bacterial small subunit ribosomal RNA
Source: RNAcentral